UACGGAGGGUGCAAGCGUUGUCCGGAUUUAUUGGGCUUAAAGGGUGCGUAGGCGGCUCUUUAAGUCAGUGGUGAAAGCCUCCAGCUUAACUGGAGAACAGCCAUUGAUACUGAAGAGCUUGAGUACAGACGAGGUAGGCGGAAUUUAUGGUGUAGCGGUGAAAUGCAUAGAUACCAUAAAGAACUCCUAUUGCGAAGGCAGCUUACUAGGCUGUAACUGACGCUGAGGCACGAAAGCGUGGGGAUCAAACAGG
Molecule: ribosomal RNA, 253 nt
Filed under: uncultured bacterium
Lineage: Bacteria
Description: partial 16S ribosomal RNA
Rfam family: Bacterial small subunit ribosomal RNA
Source: RNAcentral